GACGAACGCUGGCGGCGUGCCUAAUACAUGCAAGUUGAGCGAUGAAGAUUGGUGCUUGCACCAAUUUGAAGAGCAGCGAACGGGUGAGUAACGCGUGGGGAAUCUGCCUUUGAGCGGGGGACAAAAUUUGGAAACGAAUGCUAAUACCGCAUAACAACUUUAAACAUAAGUUUUAAGUUUGAAAGAUGCAAUUGCAUCACUCAAAGAUGAUCCCGCGUUGUAUUAGCUAGUUGGUGAGGUAAAGGCUCACCAAGGCGAUGAUACAUAGCCGACCUGAGAGGGUGAUCGGCCACAUUGGGACUGAGACACGGCCCAAACUCCUACGGGAGGCAGCAGUAGGGAAUCUUCGGCAAUGGACGAAAGUCUGACCGAGCAACGCCGCGUGAGUGAAGAAGGUUUUCGGAUCGUAAAACUCUGUUGGUAGAGAAGAACGUUGGUGAGAGUGGAAAGCUCAUCAAGUGACGGUAACUACCCAGAAAGGGACGGCUAACUACGUG
RNAcentral lists this ribosomal RNA (497 nucleotides) under uncultured bacterium. RNAcentral describes it as "partial 16S ribosomal RNA". It matches the Rfam family "Bacterial small subunit ribosomal RNA", at positions 28 to 507 of the family's 1533-position model. The record is from RNAcentral.